This 467-nucleotide ribosomal RNA is filed under the name uncultured bacterium. Its description in RNAcentral is "SSU rRNA". It matches the Rfam family "Bacterial small subunit ribosomal RNA", at positions 26 to 518 of the family's 1533-position model. The record is from RNAcentral.
AGGACAAACGCUGGCGGCGUGCCUAAGACAUGCAAGUCGGACGGGGGGCUUCGGCCUCGAGUGGCGGACGGGUGAGGAGCGCGUGGAGAACCUGCCCUGGGAUGGGGGAUAACAGCCAGAAAUGGCUGCUAAUACCGCAUACGACUAUCAGCCGGUAAGGGUGAUAAGGAAAGCCGCAAGGCGUCCUGGGAGGGGUCCGCGUCGGAUUAGCUAGUUGGUGGGGUAACGGCCUACCAAGGCGACGAUCCGUAGCUGGUCUGAGAGGACGGCCAGCCACACUGGGACUGAGACACGGCCCAGACUCCUACGGGAGGCAGCAGUUAGGGAAUUUUGACAAUGGGCGCAAGCCUGAUCGAGUGACGCCGCGUGUGGGAUGACGCCUUUCGGGGUGUAAACCACUCUUCUUGGGGACGAGAACGGACGGUACCCAAGGAAUAAGCCUCGGCUAACUACGCGCCAGCAGCCGC